Molecule: ribosomal RNA, 460 nt
Filed under: uncultured bacterium
Lineage: Bacteria
Description: partial 16S ribosomal RNA
Rfam family: Bacterial small subunit ribosomal RNA
Source: RNAcentral
CCUACGGGGGGCAGCAGUGAGGAAUAUUGGUCAAUGGACGAGAGUCUGAACCAGCCAAGUAGCGUGAAGGAUGACUGCCCUAUGGGUUGUAAACUUCUUUUAUAUGGGAAUAAAACGUUCCACGUGUGGGAUUUUGUAUGUACCAUAUGAAUAAGGAUCGGCCAACUCCGUGCCAGCAGCCGCGGUAAUACGGAGGAUCCGAGCGUUAUCCGGAUUUAUUGGGUUUAAAGGGAGCGUAGGUGGAUUGUUAAGUCAGUUGUGAAAGUUUGCGGCUCAACCGUAAAAUUGCAGUUGAAACUGGCAGUCUUGAGUACAGUAGAGGUGGGCGGAAUUCGUGGUGUAGCGGUGAAAUGCUUAGAUAUCACGAAGAACUCCGAUUGCGAAGGCAGUUCACUGGACUGCAACUGACACUGAGGCUCGAAAGUGUGGGUAUCAAACAGGAUUAGAUACCCCAGUAGUC